GAUGAACGCUAGCGGCAGGCCUAAUACAUGCAAGUCGGACGGGAUUCAGGAGCUUGCUUCUGAUGAGAGUGGCGCACGGGUGCGUAACACGUAUGUAACCUACCUUUAUCAGGGGGAUAGCCUCUCGAAAGAGAGAUUAAGCCCGCAUAAAAUCACAGCCCAGCAUUGUGUAAUGAUCAAAUAUUUAUAGGAUAAAGAUGGGCAUGCGGAACAUUAGCUAGAUGGCGGGGUAACGGCAAACCAUGGCGACGAUGUUUAGGGUAUCUGAGAGGAUGGCCCCCGGAACUGGUACUGAGACACGGACCAGACUCCUACGGGAGGCAGCAGUAAGGAAUAUUGGGCAAUGGGCGGAAGCCUGAACCAGCCAUGCCGCGUGCAGGAAGACGGCCCUACGGGUUGUAAACUGCGUUUAUACGGGAAUAAACCCAGAUACGUGUAUCUGGCUGAAUGUACUGUAAGAAUAAGGAUCGGCAAACUCCGU
RNAcentral lists this ribosomal RNA (481 nucleotides) under uncultured bacterium. Its description in RNAcentral is "partial 16S ribosomal RNA". It matches the Rfam family "Bacterial small subunit ribosomal RNA", at positions 28 to 506 of the family's 1533-position model. The record is from RNAcentral.